AUUGAACGCUGGCGGAAUGCUUUACACAUGCAAGUCGAACGGCAGCACGGGGGCAACCCUGGUGGCGAGUGGCGAACGGGUGAGUAAUACAUCGGAACGUGCCCAGUCGUGGGGGAUAACGUAGCGAAAGUUACGCUAAUACCGCAUACGAUCUAUGGAUGAAAGCGGGGGACCGUAAGGCCUCGCGUGAUUGGAGCGGCCGAUGUCAGAUUAGGUAGUUGGGGGGGUAAAGGCUCACCAAGCCGACGAUCUGUAGCUGGUCUGAGAGGACGACCAGCCACACUGGGAGUGAGACACGGCCCAGACUCGUGCGGGAGGCAGCAGUGGGGAAUUUUGGACAAUGGGCGCAAGCCGGAACCAGCCAUUCCGCGUGCAGGAUGAAGGCCCUCGGGUUGUAAACUGCUUUUGUACGGAACGAAACGGUCUGCUCUAAUACGGCGGGCUAAUGACGGUACCGUAAGAAUAAGCACCGGCUAACUACGUGCCAGCAGCCGCCGUAA
RNAcentral lists this ribosomal RNA (500 nucleotides) under uncultured bacterium. RNAcentral's name for it is "partial 16S ribosomal RNA". It matches the Rfam family "Bacterial small subunit ribosomal RNA", at positions 29 to 523 of the family's 1533-position model. The record is from RNAcentral.